This 790-nucleotide long non-coding RNA is filed under the name Gossypium barbadense (sea-island cotton). RNAcentral describes it as "long non-coding RNA (GBAR_LNC013323)". Lineage: Eukaryota; Viridiplantae; Streptophyta; Magnoliopsida; Malvales; Malvaceae. The record is from RNAcentral.
CAGCAAGGCUGAAGAAAAUCACUUACGAAAUGAAUUCUUAACCCAAAAUAAAUUCAAAUUCAAAUAGAGAACAUUCAUACUUGAAUACCUACCUUUAAUUUUUAAUUAAAAGUGUACUAAGUAUUUUAGAGAUUUCACCUUGUGUUAAUUAAAGAAAAUCCUCCAGCGGCUUCCAAAAUUAAAUCUGAGUUGCUUCAAUUAGCGGCAUGCUAAUUUAUUAUUACUGACUCUAAGUUUAAUUAAGAAAUUUGAUUACUCAAUUACUCUUAGAUAAUUAUAAGAAAUGUCCUAAAUUAGGUAGGUGAUCAAUCUAAUUAAUUUAGAGACAAAACUCUUUGAACAAAAAAAUUUAACAACUCAAGAAUGCUAAAUCCGAAUUUAAACAAAUAAACCUUCAAAUUUCUUGUGCUAAGUUUCAUAAGUGUCUAAUUGAGCUUAAUUAAUUUAGCCACUCAUAGCAAUCGAAACGAAACAAAAAUCAAUUGUAAACAGCAUAAAUUACAGACUGAAUACUAGAAAAGAAAAAUCUUCAAAUCGUCGAGUUUCCCUUCUUUCGAUUAGCUGAAAUUCUGGGCUGUUACUUCAAUUUUUAUUCGGCUUUGCUGAUUCAAUUUCAGAUUUCCCUUUGCUCGAGUGCCACGCUUCUCUGCUGCUGUGUGUUCCUCUGUUUUUUCGACUCUCCCCUUUUUUUAGCUGCUGGUCACUUCUAUUUAAGGAGUAAUGAUAUUAACCUUCCAUAAUUCAAAUAAAAUUUGAUCUUAUCCCCCUUUAUCCUAGCUGAAACCGUCGC